RNAcentral lists this ribosomal RNA (497 nucleotides) under uncultured bacterium. Its description in RNAcentral is "partial 16S ribosomal RNA". It matches the Rfam family "Bacterial small subunit ribosomal RNA", at positions 28 to 507 of the family's 1533-position model. The record is from RNAcentral.
GAUGAACGCUGGCGGCGUGCCUAAUACAUGCAAGUCGAGCGAACAGACGAGGAGCUUGCUUCUCUGACGUUAGCGGCGGACGGGUGAGUAACACGUGGAUAACCUACCUAUAAGACUGGGAUAACUUCGGGAAACCGGAGCUAAUACCGGAUAAUAUAUUGAACCGCAUGGUUCAAUAGUGAAAGACGGUUUUGCUGUCACUUAUAGAUGGAUCCGCGCCGCAUUAGCUAGUUGGUAAGGUAACGGCUUACCAAGGCAACGAUGCGUAGCCGACCUGAGAGGGUGAUCGGCCACACUGGAACUGAGACACGGUCCAGACUCCUACGGGAGGCAGCAGUAGGGAAUCUUCCGCAAUGGGCGAAAGCCUGACGGAGCAACGCCGUGUGAGUGAUGAAGGUCCUCGGAUCGUAAAACUCUGUUAUUAGGGAAGAACAGAUGUGUAAGUAACUAUGCACGUCUUGACGGUACCUAAUCAGAAAGCCACGGCUAACUACGUG